RNAcentral lists this ribosomal RNA (275 nucleotides) under uncultured prokaryote. Its description in RNAcentral is "partial 16S ribosomal RNA". It matches the Rfam family "Bacterial small subunit ribosomal RNA", at positions 524 to 799 of the family's 1533-position model. The record is from RNAcentral.
UACGUAGGGGCUAGCGUUAUCCGGAAUUACUGGGCGUAAAGGGUGCGUAGGCGGUCUUUCAAGCCAGAAGUGAAAGGCUACGGCUCAACCGUAGUAAGCUUUUGGAACUGUAAGACUUGAGUGCAGGAGAGGAGAGUGGAAUUCCUAGUGUAGCGGUGAAAUGCGUAGAUAUUAGGAGGAACACCAGUAGCGAAGGCGGCUCUCUGGACUGUAACUGACGCUGAGGCACGAAAGCCAGGGGAGCGAACGGGAUUAGAUACCCUGGUAGUCCCUGA